AGUAUUAUUUAAAAUGAACUUUUUGAACUUUAUGUCACGUUAUAAAGUUAUUCCUUCAUCAAAAACAUACCUAGAAUGUUGCUUUGACUCAUUCAUGCAAGUUUGAUAAAUCCUUCAAUCUCCAUGGCAACCACUUACGGGUGCCUAAACACUUGCUCACCAUUUAUUUACCCAAAGCUCUGCCUUGGAGCUUCAGUCCACAGCCUCAUAGGAGUACCCCUCCCCCAGAGUAGCGGCAGCAUCAAUUAGCAAACACCUGUUGGAACUGCUGAGCGAAUCAUACAAACUACAACACUAAAAACGGUUGAGAUGUGUCGAAAAGAGUUUCUUAAAGAGACAGAGACUAAUUUCAAUGUGUCAGAUAUGACUGUGACGUGAAGGUACAUUUCUUUUAAGUCAUUUUUUGAUAUACAGCAUUUUCAGAACAACUGAAGGUAACAGUUACUUGACUGUGCUAUAAAAUGUCUGGAAAAUACAUAACCAUAAUAACCACUGCCCUUUAACAAUAAGCGGCAAUUAACAGAGGUUAAACACAUCAAUACCAGAGCUGAACCAACCCAUCAGCCAAAGAUCGGAAUCAGACAAUUUUCUUUAGUCCACAGAAUCAAGUAAUUAAAAAAAACAUCAGAUGGUUUAUGUUUUCUACUAAUUAAAUGCAUCAAAACUAAGAAUUUCCACCAUUUUCAAUCUAUAAACGCAUCUUCCAGCAGCAUCUGCUUUUACAUAAGAAUAAUGAAAAAAAUCCAGGUAGAUACCUUUCAUUAUCUACACAUUUGUAUCUUGUCCAGAGUCUCUUGGAGCCCUGGUCCAAACCCAACAGAAAGUCGGCCAUUUUGGAUCAAAGCCGCCACCGUGUCUCUUCUAUGGAUAAUUUAUUAUCAUUUAUUCAUCAUUUAAUUUUUGUUGGCAUCAGCUACUAAAUCCUUUGAUUAUCAGGUUUAGUCCAACUCUUUCACUCAAAGUACAAACAUAUUUUUGUCAAAAUCAGAAUCAGUGAGUUAGAACUAAAGAAAAUAUUGAUCAGGAAAAACUUAAUUGGCGCUGGUACAACAAUAUAAAUAACAUCCAAAGAGACAUCCAUUUAUCAUUCAAUUUCCCAAAUGAAUGAUAAAUGAUUGCGACAGGCUGAGUGGUGUUUCUCUCCAGCUUUUUAGCAUCAGAUUGACCUCUGAAUUCCUCAACAACAGCAGCUCCACUUUGCAUGCAUGGAUGAAAAAUGACACAAACACUCCCUUAUCUAGCCUUGCAUGGUCGCACACCUGUCUGCACACUAGCCUCUAGGAUUUUCCUGAUUAUAAUGUCCACGACAGAUGAGACUGUGACAAGAGAUCACAGGGAGGCUGACUCAUCAAAGCCUGGCCCAAAUCUAGAGGGCAUUCAAAACACAGCCAUCACCGCAGAAGAGCAUGGAGUGCACUAUAAUCUUCUUCUGACGCUGGCGCUCGCAGUCAGGAAUUUACCGCAGCUAAAUGCUGCGCAACGCAAGUUUGUUAUUCACAAAUCCAUCUUUAUGUUGCCAAUAGAAGCUACAAAGAAAUAAAACUAAAAAACACCAUCAACAGUAAAAUUACAUGUAUCUGUGUUUGUAUAAAUCCCUAUAGUUCAGUUCCAGACCAUCAUGUACUCUACAUUUGUUCAGCAUUGUGGGAAAUGUUCUCAGCGCCAGUGACACUCUGACCCCUGCUGUCUUGACAAUUUGAAACAAUCCAGCCCAUUGUUUCUGCAGGCGGGUCUUCUCAGGCGACGGUCAGAGGCAAGACCGCAUCAUGGUGGCAGAAGACAAUGUUGCUCUACAAUGAGGGAACCGAUGAGGAAAGAGGAGGAGAGGAGAAUGGAAGAAGAGAGGGAGAGAGCAUACAGAAGAUUUAUGGACGGAAGAAAGAAAAGGCUGAAGAGGAGAGGUGAUGUCCAUUAGGUCUAAUGCUGUGAAGAUGUUCUCACAAGGUUGAAAUUUGAUCAGCAUUUACGCUGGCAGAUACUGAGAAUGGAGCAGGAAAUGCUAGAGACAACUACAACUAAAAAAACAAAAAGGUGUGACGCUGAAAACUAGUCAAAAAAGAUACAAUUAAAUCUAAUUAUUUUCCUUUCAGGUGUUUGUCUACAGACUCCACAUCUCAUUGGAGAUUUUGUUUUAGAAUAUGUAUAAAAAGUGAAGGAAUGAAAAGCAUGUGCUUUCAGCUGCACUUUUCAAUCUAUGCCUUGUUUUCUAGCUAUUUACAUAAAUUUAAAUAUUGGUUAUCUUCUAUUAAUUAAUUCUGCUUUGUUUUUUGCAGGUUUUCUUUCAGAGUUUCAGAGUGUUUUCACAAAUUAAAAAUGGCCGAAACAACUUUACUUUAAAUAAAACACAUUCACAUCAAUCUAAACUCCAAACCACAGAGUUACAGCAAAGAUUUUGCUGAUAGAGACACAAAUAGAUUUAAUUGAAACUCUUAAUUUGCAGGUUUAGUUCAUAUUCCCUCAUGCACUUUGUCUACAUAAAUUCACUUGUUGCAUUACGAGGCAAUAUUCUUUAAUUUUCUUCAUUCACACUCAUAUUUAGCUAUUGCUGCUGUUCGUUUUCCUACUCACUCCAAUAUGAAAACUGUUCUGCUUCAUCUAAUUGAGCUGAAUCCUGAAACUAAACAGCAUGCAUAAAAACAUAGAGGGAAUUAUUGAAUCGUCACCUGUACAUUAACUGAUGACAUUAAGCCCGUCACCAUGAAUUUUGAUGCUCGAUAAAUUGUCACACAAGGUAUUGCAAUAAACAAAUAAUAUUGUUGUUUUGAGCCAAUUUUUAGGUAAUAAUGAUGCAAGUACAACCUCUCAA
Molecule: long non-coding RNA, 2806 nt
Organism: Xiphophorus hellerii (green swordtail)
Lineage: Eukaryota; Metazoa; Chordata; Actinopteri; Cyprinodontiformes; Poeciliidae
Exons: 3
Source: RefSeq, a predicted model, not a curated record